GGGGCUGCAAAUGUUCAUUCACCAAAGCAUUCUCCAGGCUCCUCACCUGACAGAGGAUGCUGUCCCUGCUUCUUAAGGGAGAAGAUUGAGACCUGGAGGAAUCACCUGUGAGCCCCAGAUCCCUGGCUGACUGGCAAAGGCGACAACAGUCUGGCUGCAGAGCUCCGGCCAGGCUCUGGGGUUGGAAUCAAGUGCUAUCUCGUUAUGCAACACAGCAGAGCAUCACAGCUCCUGAGAAAGAAGCGACCUUUCCUCUCAUCCUUCGACAACCUAAAUACUAUCAACUACCAGGGGCUUCCAACAAACUUCAACCUCGCACUUCAGGCAGGAGUGGAUACCCUGCCCUCAGUCUGAACUGAUGCUUAAAAUCACAGCCUGAAAGUUCUUAUUUGAUAAACUUCAUUAAAAAAUUGUUUUAAAACAAGAUUUUACAUUUUAUUUUGUUUACAAAGAAAU
This is a long non-coding RNA of Piliocolobus tephrosceles (Ugandan red Colobus), 456 nucleotides long. RefSeq lists it as uncharacterized. The record is from RefSeq and is a predicted model, not a curated record. Lineage: Eukaryota; Metazoa; Chordata; Mammalia; Primates; Cercopithecidae. The transcript has 3 exons.